CCUACGGGAGGCAGCAGUAGGGAAUAUUGCUCAAUGGGGGAAACCCUGAAGCAGCAACGCCGCGUGGAGGAUGAAGGUUUUCGGAUUUUAAACUCCUUUUGUUAGAGAAGAUAAUGACGGUAUCUAACGAAUAAGCACCGGCUAACUCCGUGCCAGCAGCCGCGGUAAUACGGAGGGUGCAAGCGUUACUCGGAAUCACUGGGCGUAAAGAGCGCGUAGGCGGGAUAGCAAGUCAGAUGUGAAAUCCUAUGGCUUAACCAUAGAACUGCAUUUGAAACUGUUAUUCUAGAGUAUGGGAGAGGUAGGUGGAAUUCUUGGUGUAGGGGUAAAAUCCGUAGAGAUCAAGAGGAACACUCAUUGCGAAGGCGACCUGCUAGAACAUACCUGACGCUGAUGCGCGAAAGCGUGGGGAGCAAACAGGAUUAGAUACCCUAGUAGUC
Molecule: ribosomal RNA, 440 nt
Filed under: uncultured bacterium
Lineage: Bacteria
Description: partial 16S ribosomal RNA
Rfam family: Bacterial small subunit ribosomal RNA
Source: RNAcentral